GUGAGCACCACCACGUCUGGCAAUUUUUGUAUUUUUAGUGGACAAGGGGUUUCACCAUGUUGGCCAGGCUGGUCUUGAACUCCUGACUUCAAGUGACCCACCUACCUUGGCCUCCCAAAGUGUUGGAAUUACAGGCGUGAGCCGCUGUGUCCAGCCACCAGCCUCUUCUUGAUGGAGAGACUGACAUCUGUGGCUUCACACCAGGCUCUCUGCAGUGAAUAAGCUUGAACCUGCGUUAUUUUCUAGCUCUGAAACUAGCUGUGAUCUUUGGGGGUAGGGGGAGGCGUGGAGCAUGAGAACAAACCUGGCGUCUGUCUGCACUGAUUGCGACACACUCUUUGGAAGAGGAGGAGGAGGAGGAGAGAGAAUGAAAAUACCUGCUUGCUCUCCAGAAUUGGGGUUCAGCUUUUGAAACUGCAUCCCCUUGCCAGGCGCAGUGGCUCACGUCUGUAAUCCCAGCACUUUGGGAGGCCGAGGCAGGCAGAUCACUUGAGGCCAGGAGUUGGAGACCAGCCUGGCCAACAUGGUGAAACCCCGUCUUUACUGAAAGUACAAAAAUUAGCCAGGCGUGGUGGUGGGUGCCUGUAAUCCCAGCUACUCAGGAGGCUGAGGCAGGAGAAUCGCUUGAAGCCGGGAGGCAGAGGUUGCAGUGAGCUGAGAUUGCACCACUGCACUCCAGCCUGGGUGACAGAGAGAGACCCUGUUGCCAAAAAAAAAAAAAAAAAUUAAAAAAAGGAAAGAAACUGGAUCUCCCAAUUGCCCCAUUCCAUCUUCUAUCCCCCACUUUCUCCUCAAGCCACCCCAUUUCCUGGUUUCAUUCUAGACUCAAGCAUUCGGCACUGUGGUUUGACAACCUUGAGAAGGAAUUCCUGUCUGGCCUCUGUCUAGCGGCAAGCCUGGGUUCCUCUUUUCUCUGAGCCUCGGUUAAUCCAACUAAACAAUGCGACUGAAGAUAGUUCUGGUUGUUGUGACAAUUAAAGAAACCAGGAUGCCUAGAAGCCACCAGGCUCAGAGGGGCCAGGUGUGGUGGCUCACGCCUGUCAUCCCAGCACUUUGGGAGGCUGAGGCUGGGGGAUCGCUGGAGGUCGGGGGUUCGAGACCAGCCUGGCUAACAUGGUGAAACCCUGUUUCUACUAAAAAAUACAAAAAUUAGCUGGCUAGGCAUGGUGGCUCACACCUGUCAUCCCAGCACUUUGGAAGGCCGAG
RNAcentral lists this long non-coding RNA (1206 nucleotides) under Homo sapiens (human). Its description in RNAcentral is "HSALNT0255124". The record is from RNAcentral. Lineage: Eukaryota; Metazoa; Chordata; Mammalia; Primates; Hominidae.